UCAUUAGAGGUUCAAGACCCCUAGACAAAAAGUGACGACACUCUUCAACUUGAAAGAAACUCACACUUUCUUCUCUCCUCUACUCUUAACUUGACUUAACCUUUCCAAACGCAGCUAGGGUUUCAUAAUCAUACUCCAUUAUCAUCUAAAUCCCCACUGAAAUUUCAUUCUCAGAGCUUGAACCCGAAUUGUUCACUUAUUCACUCAACUCGCGAAUCUAAUUCAAUGUAUACAAAACAGGUGAUUUUACGUAUUUUCUGUCUCUCUUUCAUUUGAUAAAUUUUUAUUUCAUUUGAGUAACAACAUACACUAAACUUGCAAUUAUCUCUUGGAAAUGAGUGUUUCAACCGACAUCAGCCAAGGGAGCAUGAAUUUGCAGAGGCAUUUUUCAUGGUUUCUCUCAGGCUGAAGGUGUAAAGGUUCCUGUAACUGUUGGAAAGUAUAUGGUUAUGGUCUUCACACAUGGAAUUCAGAAGGAAGUAAUAUCUCUUGUCACUGAACUUUAUGUCAUGUCUAAAGAGCAUCAUUGUAACUGUUGAAGAGCUGAUGUUAUUGUUGAGGAUGAUUUUUAUUUAUUCAUAUCUGUCAACUGUGAUUUCCUUGAUUAAACAGAUAAUCUUAUUUUAGCUGGAAAUGAUUUUGAAGAAAUCACAUUAAUCAAAAGCUUUCUUUGUAGCUGGUUCAAGAUUGAAGACCUGGGAUAAUUGAAAUAUUACGUUGGAUUGGAGAUUUCCAGGUCUCAAACUGACACAAUACUACUUGCUUCCAAAUCAGCCUCCACACGAAUACAGAGGGGCACCAAAUUGCCUUAGGAAUCAGGCACACUUCCGACAGAUCCUGAAUCAUACAGAAGACUAGUUGAUAAACUGAUUUACCUAACCAACACAAGGUAAAAUAUUUCCUAUUCAGUGCAGCAGCUGUGCAAGCUUAUGAGCAAACGCGCUACCCUUCGUUGUGAAGCCACAACAAGAGUCCUUGGAUAUAUCAAAAUUUCUCUAGCAUUAGGGCUAUUCUUUCCUUCAAAUUCACACCUACAGCUGAAAGGAUUUUGUGAUUUAGAUUGAGCAACAAGCCCAGACAACAGAAAAUCCAUCAGUGGGAGUGACAAUUUCCAAAUCAUCAUGAGACAAAUACCGUGUCAUGACAUCCACAAUCUGCGAAUUGCAGUGGCUCGCUUAUCUUCUCAAUGACUUCAAAGUCCUUCUGUUCUAUACCGUGAAGUGACAGCCAAUCAGCUCGCCGCAUGGCCAAUUUAAUGAAAGACAGAGCACAUUGAAUUAGACUGCCGCAUCGUUUGAGAAAAGCUACCACAAAACUUGUUUCAUUUACUUGUUUCUUCUUCACUGCAUUUAGCAGAUUGCGUCACCAAACCCCUUUCCAUACUUGUGUAACCAAAUAGGACCAAAGAACAUUUACUCUCCAGCUUGAGUGAAUGUAUUGUUAUUCAGCCUCUCAGAUAUAAUGGCCUGAAUAUAAGUUAUACAAACGUAUUCACUCCUUAAGUAAUUCAUUACUCAUUUUUUACAUCAAUGGAAAUUUUGUAUGUUCAGUAA
This is a long non-coding RNA of Medicago truncatula (barrel medic), 1553 nucleotides long. RefSeq lists it as uncharacterized. The transcript is spliced from 4 exons. Lineage: Eukaryota; Viridiplantae; Streptophyta; Magnoliopsida; Fabales; Fabaceae. The record is from RefSeq and is a predicted model, not a curated record.